GGAGCGUGGCGCAGCCUGGUAGCGCACUUGACUGGGGGUCAAGGGGUCGUGGGUUCGAAUC
This 61-nucleotide transfer RNA is filed under the name Brevundimonas sp. Its description in RNAcentral is "tRNA-Pro". It matches the Rfam family "tRNA", at positions 2 to 59 of the family's 71-position model. From Rfam's summary of the family: Transfer RNA (tRNA) molecules are approximately 80 nucleotides in length. Their secondary structure includes four short double-helical elements and three loops (D, anti-codon, and T loops). Further hydrogen bonds mediate the characteristic L-shaped molecular structure. tRNAs have two regions of fundamental functional importance: the anti-codon, which is responsible for specific mRNA codon recognition, and the 3' end, to which the tRNAs corresponding amino acid is attached (by aminoacyl-tRNA synthetases). tRNAs cope with the degeneracy of the genetic code in two manners: having more than one tRNA (with a specific anti-codon) for a particular amino acid; and 'wobble' base-pairing, i.e. permitting non-standard base-pairing at the 3rd anti-codon position. The record is from RNAcentral. Lineage: Bacteria; Pseudomonadati; Pseudomonadota; Alphaproteobacteria; Caulobacterales; Caulobacteraceae.